GAUGAACGCUGGCGGCGUGCCUAAUACAUGCAAGUCGAGCGAACAGACGAGGAGCUUGCUCCUUGGACGUUAGCGGAGGACGGGUGAGUAACACGUGGAUAACCUACCUAUAAGACUGGGAAAACUACGGGAAACCGGAGCUAAUACCGGAGAAUAUAUUGAACCGCAUGGUUCAAUAGUGAAAGACGGUGUUGCGGGCAGUUAUAGAUGGAUCCCCGCCGCAUUAGAUAGUUGGGGAGGUAACGGGUUACCAAGGGGACGAUGGGUAGGCGAAGUGAGAGGGGGAUAGCCCACCUGAGAAGUGAAACAGGGACAAGACUCCUAAGAGAGGCCGCAGUAGGGAAUCGUACGCAGCAGGGGAGAACCUGACAGAGCAGGGGGGCGCCAGUGGCGAAGAUCUCGGGAGCGUAAAAAUCGGUUACUGGGGAAGAACAAAUGUGGAAGUAACUAAGCACGUAUUGACGGUACCUGAUAAGAAAGCAACGGCUAACUACGUG
Molecule: ribosomal RNA, 497 nt
Filed under: uncultured bacterium
Lineage: Bacteria
Description: partial 16S ribosomal RNA
Rfam family: Bacterial small subunit ribosomal RNA
Source: RNAcentral